CCCAGACUCCUACGGGAGGCAGCAGUGGGGAAUAUUGGGCAAUGGGCGCAAGCCUGACCCAGCAACGCCGCGUGAAGGAAGAAGGCUUUCGGGUUGUAAACUUCUUUUCUGAGGGACGAAGAAAGUGACGGUACCUCAGGAAUAAGCCACGGCUAACUACGUGCCAGCAGCCGCGGUAAUACGUAGGUGGCAAGCGUUAUCCGGAUUUAUUGGGUGUAAAGGGCGUGUAGGCGGGAAUGCAAGUCAGAUGUGAAAACUAUGGGCUCAACCCAUAGCCUGCAUUUGAAACUGUAUUUCUUGAGUGCUGGAGAGGCAAUCGGAAUUCCGUGUGUAGCGGUGAAAUGCGUAGAUAUACGGAGGAACACCAGUGGCGAAGGCGGCCUGCUGGACGACAACUGACGGUGAGGCGCGAAAGCGUGGGGAGCAAACAGGAUUAGAUACCCGUGUAAA
This 450-nucleotide ribosomal RNA is filed under the name uncultured bacterium. RNAcentral's name for it is "partial 16S ribosomal RNA". It matches the Rfam family "Bacterial small subunit ribosomal RNA", at positions 330 to 793 of the family's 1533-position model. The record is from RNAcentral.